Molecule: ribosomal RNA, 253 nt
Filed under: uncultured bacterium
Lineage: Bacteria
Description: partial 16S ribosomal RNA
Rfam family: Bacterial small subunit ribosomal RNA
Source: RNAcentral
UACAGAGGUCUCAAGCGUUGUUCGGAUUCAUUGGGCGUAAAGGGUGCGUAGGCGGCGCGGUAAGUCGGGUGUGAAAUCUUGGAGCUUAACUCCGAAACUGCAUUCGAUACUGCCGUGCUUGAGGACUGGAGAGGAGACUGGAAUUUACGGUGUAGCGGUGAAAUGCGUAGAUAUCGGGAAGAACACCCGUGGCGAAGGCGGUUCGCUGGGACGGUACUGACGCUGAGACGCGAAAGCGUGGGGAGCGAACAGG